GUCCACGCUGUAAACGAUGGGUGCUAGGUGUGGGAGGUGUCGACUCCUCCCGUGCCGAAGCUAACGCAUUAAGCACCCCGCCUGGGGAGUACGGCCGCAAGGCUAAAACUCAAAGGAAUUGACGGGGGCCCCGCACAAGCAGCGGAGCAUGUGGUUUAAUUCGACGCGACGCGAAGAACCUUACCAAGGCUUGACAUGCACGGGAAUGUCCGGAGAAAUUCGGCAGCCCUUCGGGGCUCGUGCACAGGUGGUGCAUGGCUGUCGU
This 265-nucleotide ribosomal RNA is filed under the name uncultured bacterium. Its description in RNAcentral is "partial 16S ribosomal RNA". It matches the Rfam family "Bacterial small subunit ribosomal RNA", at positions 793 to 1055 of the family's 1533-position model. The record is from RNAcentral.